This 282-nucleotide long non-coding RNA is filed under the name Coturnix japonica (Japanese quail). RNAcentral describes it as "lncRNA (ENSCJPG00005000856.1)". The record is from RNAcentral. Lineage: Eukaryota; Metazoa; Chordata; Aves; Galliformes; Phasianidae.
AUGCAGUCCGUGCCCUCCACAAGUCUACCUGAAUUCUCUCUUCUUGUAGAUUUGAAAGCAAUUAUGGUGAACUUUUCAACAGUAUCUGUCUCCAGUGCAAUUCCUUUGAACUUCACGAUUGGAUUUUGCUCCUUUUUCUUUGCAGAAAUGGAACUGAAACACAUCAGUUACCUUAUGGUAGCACCAAUCUCUACUGGUGGAGUCUACAGGCUGCAGGCAAACCUUGAAGAAGGUCUCCUAGAGCAGCAUGAAAGGAUGCUGUCCGAGGCUGUUAGUACAUGA